Molecule: non-coding RNA, 87 nt
Organism: Acanthosepion pharaonis
Lineage: Eukaryota; Metazoa; Mollusca; Cephalopoda; Sepiida; Sepiidae
Source: the annotation of a GenBank genome assembly
CAGUUCCUGUACAAUCACCAAAGUUAAGCAACAUUGAGCCUGGCUAGUACUUUGAUGAGUGACUGCUUGGGAAUAACAGUUGCUGUA